RNAcentral lists this transfer RNA (65 nucleotides) under Scolytoplatypus sinensis. RNAcentral's name for it is "tRNA-Arg". The record is from RNAcentral. Lineage: Eukaryota; Metazoa; Arthropoda; Insecta; Coleoptera; Curculionidae.
AAGUAGAAAGCUAAAAAGCAUUUAAUUUCGACUUAAAAGACUGAUACUAAAAGUAUCUCUAUUUA